AGGCAUGAUGAAAUCGGCGGAAAUAAGUACCACUACCGUCCGUCUAACACUACAGCGACCCCCGUCUAAGCUUCUUCUAUUACGCCAAGAAACUUUGAAUUAAUGGUAACAGUUGGUUUUAUUCCAGGCCCUGUGUUAAAAAGUCUGCAGCAUAUUUAUUAGGGCAGAAUUAUUAAGAAUGGUGGCCUUACAUCGUCCUCCUCAACAAUAUAAGACCGACGACAUAGCCCAUCAGCAUGGACAUUUAGUCUUGCGGUUACCAGUAAGGCACUGCGAGUUAAACCAAAUAGAGAUAAUUCAAGCACAAGAAAAGACCUAUGUCGCCCGAAGAAACACCAAUUUUAAAAUCAAAGACGUUAAGCGUCUGUUUCUGGAGGCCAAGGCUAGUGUGACAACUGGAGACUGGGCUAAGGCGUGUCCACACAUCAUAGACAAGGUGGGGGAUCGAUUUUGGGAAACGGGGAGAUUGAAUGCGGAAGUACCACCAGUCGUGAUUUUGUUCGGGAGUGACAGCGAGUAUGAGUGUGAGAGUGAGGAUUUUGGCGACAAUGUCAGUGGAGAGAGUGAUAGUGAAAAUGUUGCUGGAUGUCGGUGGUGUUGCGAAUGAAGAUUCGAGUUAUGAUGAUAUAAACGUGUGUAGUGUAUGUGAUUGUGAGAACCCACCGGGAUGUGAAUCGGGUGCGAUUGUGGAUUGGGUUGGGCUGUGAUUUGUGUGAAAGGUGGAUGCAUGUGAAAGUACUGGGAAAGAGAUUGAUGUAAGCGCAAGUGUGGUGAAGUGUGUAGAUUGUGUGCGCAAAUUGUAUGAUAGAUAGCGUAAAUGUAGUCCAGACAACUUCUGUAAUAUAUAUUGUAUAUAGU
Patella vulgata (common limpet) is the source of this 858-nucleotide long non-coding RNA. RefSeq lists it as uncharacterized. The transcript is spliced from 4 exons. Lineage: Eukaryota; Metazoa; Mollusca; Gastropoda; Patellidae. The record is from RefSeq and is a predicted model, not a curated record.